RNAcentral lists this long non-coding RNA (1611 nucleotides) under Mytilus galloprovincialis (Mediterranean mussel). Lineage: Eukaryota; Metazoa; Mollusca; Bivalvia; Mytilida; Mytilidae. The record is from RNAcentral.
UUUUAGACAUUUUUACAAGGUACUGGAGAAUUUUGUCAAAAUUUUAUGAUGGAACCUGUUGCAUUAUAAUUAUUUCAUCACCAAAUUUUUCAUUUGCUUUGACAUCUAACAGAGAAGUUGGAAGUACAAUGUAUACAUUAAAAAUCAGUCACAUUUUUCAAUUAAAAUUAUUUUUUUAGAAAUUUUUCAUGAAUACAAUAUGAUUGCUAUUAAAACCCAUUUUCUUAUUAUUCUCUUUUUUUGGUAUUUCAAUGUGUUUCAGUUAGUUUUGUUGUAAACAAUAUGCAAUGUGUUUUUACUGAACUUCAAGCACAUGUCAUAAGUAGAAGUUGAUCAAUUAUAACUGCUUUUCUACUAUAAAUCCCAAAAAUUAAGAUAUAUGAAUAGAACAUAUGAAAACAAUUCCUUAACAUUCUUAGCUCACCUGGCCCAGAGCGCCAAGUGAGCUUUUCCAAUCACUUGGCGUCUGGUGUCCAGCAUUGUCCGUCAUUGUUAACUUUUACAAAAAUCUUCAUCUCUGAAACUACUGAGCCAAAUUUAACUAAACUUGACCACAAUCAUCACUAGGGUAUCUAGUUUAAAAAUUCUGUCCUGUGACCUGGCCAACCAACCAAGAUGGGCGCCAUGGCUAAAAAUAGAACAUAGGGGUAAAAUGUAGAUUUUGGCUUUUAACUCUGAAACCAAAGCAUUUAGAGCAAAUCUGUCAAGGGUACAAUUGUUUAUCAGGUCAAGAUCUAUUUGCCCUGAAAUUUUCAGAUUAAUUGGGCAACUAGUUGUUGGGUUGCUGCUCCCCCCAUUUGUUUUAAAACUGAUAUGCUGUUAAAAUUUUAAAAAACUUUUUAUUUCAUGAGAUAUUUUUUCCAAAUGAGAUCGUUUAGAAUUCCUGAAUAUUAAAUAUAUGUAUUUUUUACACUGAUAUGAGAUGUAAACAAAAUACCUUUUCAUUAAACCAAUGACCACUAAGUUAUUUGACAUAUUUAAAUGCAUGUAUACAAAACCAUUUAGACACCACAUUUGUACUAUAGGCAACACAUUUGUACUUUAGGCAACAUAUUUGUACUAUAGGCAAUACAUUUGUACUAAAGGCAACACAUUUGUACUAUAGGCAACACAUUUUUACUAUAGGCAAUACAUUCGUACUUUAGGCAACACAUUUGUACUAUAGGCAAUACAUUUGUACUUUAGGCAACACAUUUGUUCUAUAGGCAACACAUUUGUUCUAUAGACAACACAUUUGUACUAUAGGCAACACAUUUGACUAUAGGCAAUACAUUUGUUCUAUAGGCAACACAUUUGUUCUAUAGGCAAUACAUUUGUACUUUAGGCAACACAUUUGUUCUAUAGGCAACACAUUUGUACUAUAACAGUCGUGUAUUACAUUUACUAUAUAAACCAUCAACAUGGCUCAGAUUGACAUCGUUUGUUAUAUUUAAGUUUAUGAUUAAUCUUGUAGCAUAAUUACAUAGAAAUCCAUUACAAAAAUGUUGUUAAAAUGUGAUUAAAUUUUAUGUCAUGACUGUUGAAAAAAUUGUUUUCUUUACAAAAAAAACGGUUAUUGGAUUGUUUUAAAAAUUGAAAUAAAAUAUGGACUAUGUAGUCUAUUUAUAAAUU